AGCUUUGAUUGUGUGCUACUA
This 21-nucleotide non-coding RNA is filed under the name Arabidopsis thaliana (thale cress). Lineage: Eukaryota; Viridiplantae; Streptophyta; Magnoliopsida; Brassicales; Brassicaceae. The record is from RNAcentral.